AUCCAGCUGAUGAGUUCCAAACAGGGCGAAGCACGCGUCCUGGAA
This is a non-coding RNA of Schistosoma curassoni, 45 nucleotides long. The record is from Rfam. Lineage: Eukaryota; Metazoa; Platyhelminthes; Trematoda; Strigeidida; Schistosomatidae.